GGGAAGGGUGGUUCCAUGUUUUGACUUUGGAAAGAAAAACAAAAUUCAAUUUCUUUCUUUAAUUUGCUUGCGCCAUUGAUCCUGUUGCUUUUUUUUUUUUUUAUAAGUAAUUAGAUUAUAUUUUAGUUAAGGGUGGAGCAAAUUUCGAUAUUGGAGUUAUGAGUAGACCUGAUUAUGGGUUGGAUUACUCAUUCAGACUCGA
This 202-nucleotide long non-coding RNA is filed under the name Gossypium raimondii (Peruvian cotton). RNAcentral describes it as "long non-coding RNA (GRAI_LNC001363)". Lineage: Eukaryota; Viridiplantae; Streptophyta; Magnoliopsida; Malvales; Malvaceae. The record is from RNAcentral.